AACGAACGCUAGCGGCAUGCCUAACACAUGCAAGUCGAACGAGAUCUUCGGGUCUAGUGGCGCACGGGUGCGUAACGCGUGGGAAUCUGCCCUUUGGUUCGGAAUAACAGUUGGAAACGACUGCUAAUACCGGAUGAUGACGACAGUCCAAAGAUUUAUCGCCAGAGGAUGAGCCCGCGUAGGAUUAGCUAGUUGGUGUGGUAAAGGCGCACCAAGGCGACGAUCCUUAGCUGGUGUGAGAGGAUGAUCAGCAACACUGGGACUGAGACACGGCCCAGACUCCUACGGGAGGCAGCAGUGGGGAAUAUUGGACAAUGGGCGAAAGCCUGAUCCAGCAAUGCCGCGUGAGUGAUGAAGGCCUUAGGGUUGUAAAGCUCUUUUACCCGGGUUGAUAAUGACAGUACCGGGAGAAUAAGCUCCGGCUAACUCCGUGCCAGCCGCCGCCGUAA
This 449-nucleotide ribosomal RNA is filed under the name uncultured bacterium. RNAcentral describes it as "partial 16S ribosomal RNA". It matches the Rfam family "Bacterial small subunit ribosomal RNA", at positions 29 to 523 of the family's 1533-position model. The record is from RNAcentral.